This 346-nucleotide ribosomal RNA is filed under the name uncultured bacterium. RNAcentral's name for it is "bacterial SSU rRNA". It matches the Rfam family "Bacterial small subunit ribosomal RNA", at positions 1 to 334 of the family's 1533-position model. The record is from RNAcentral.
ACAGAUCGUUCAGAGUUUGAUCCUGGCUCAGGAUGAACGCUAGCUACAGGCUUAACACAUGCAAGUCGAGGGGCAGCACGGGAAUAGCUUGCUAUUCUGGGUGGCGACCGGCGCACGGGUGCGUAACGCGUAUCGAACCUGCCCUAUACUCAGGGAUAGCCUUGCGAAAGUAAGAUUAAUACCUGAUGUUGUUAUUUAUUCGCAUGUUUGAAUAACGAAAGAUUUAUUGGUAUAGGAUGGCGAUGCGUGGCAUUAGGUAGUAGGCGGGGUAACGGCCCACCUAGCCGACGAUGCCUAGGGGUUCUGAGAGGAAGGUCCCCCACACUGGAACUGAGACACGGUCCAG